RNAcentral lists this unclassified non-coding RNA (342 nucleotides) under soil metagenome. Its description in RNAcentral is "partial contains 5.8S ribosomal RNA, internal transcribed spacer 2, and large subunit ribosomal RNA". The stretch from base 1 to 120 matches the Rfam family "5.8S ribosomal RNA", at positions 35 to 154 of the family's 154-position model. The record is from RNAcentral.
GAUGAAGAACGUAUCGAAAUGCGAUAAGUAGUGUGAAUUGCAGAAUUCAGUGAAUCAUCGAAUCUUUGAACGCACAUUGCGCCCUUUGGUAUUCCAAAGGGCAUGCCUGUUCGAGCGUCAUUUGUACCCUCAAGCUUUGCUUGGUGUUGGGCGUCUUGUCUCUAGCUUUGCUGGAGACUCGCCUUAAAGUAAUUGGCAGCCGGCCUACUGGUUUCGGAGCGCAGCACAAGUCGCACUCUCUAUCAGCAAAGGUCUAGCAUCCAUUAAGCCUUUUUUUUCAACUUUUGACCUCGGAUCAGGUAGGGAUACCCGCUGAACUUAAGCAUAUCAAUAAGCGGAGGA